UUUCUGCAAAAUAAAAAAAAAACAGAGAGAAACUCCUCUGUCCAUACAAAAUAAAUUCAUAUAAAAAAAGGGACUGAUAUUGAUCAUUAGAACACAAAAUCCUACAACAAUUCCCAUAACAAUCUAAUUAACGAGUUCUCCACUAAUUACAUAGAAGUGAGCUUUGGCGUAACUGGUAAAGUUGUUGUCAUAUGAUCAGAAGGUCACGGUUUUGAAUCGUAAAAAUACCCCGACAGAAAGCACAUAGCAAGAGCUUAAUGCACGGACUGACUUUUUACUAAUUAUAUCAAAAUUCACUCCAUAUAUAUAUCUAACUUAAUUAGUGAAAAAGCAAAGUCAUAAAAAUCAAAGGAAAAAUAGUGGUGAUAAUCAACAUAUUCUUCCAGCUGGUUCUUGAUUCUUGAAUAGAGAUUGAAGAUGAAGAUUGAUCAUUAUCAGAAUGAGGAGGUUUUCUAUAAUAAAAUGGAAACCAAGGCACUAUUGGUUCAGGUGGUGGUGGUACUGCACCAUUUAUAAAAUCUGGUGGAGAGUUAUCAUAAUCGUUUGGUGGAAUAUUAUAACCAGUUGGUGGUGGAUUAUAAUUAGUUGAUGCACCAUUUACAAAAUCUGGUGGAGAGUUAUCAUAAUCAUUUGAUGGAAUAUUAUUAUAACCAGUUGGUGGUGGAUUGUAAUUAGUUGAUGGAUUAUUUGGGACAUACCCUUGUGGAGAUGGUGGAGUUGUUGUUGCCGGAGGAGGGUUGUUUCCGGCGGGACCGGUCGGCGGCGGAUAACACGGGUAAGGACAUUCUUGGGCUGAGAUUCUUGCCGGAAAAUUGAGUAUUAACAGUGGAAAAUGUAAUAGUGUGAAGAGAAGUUUGUUGAGUUUAGAAACCAUGCUUUUGUGUUGUAGAAAGAAAAUGAAGGAAAUGAAGUAGGAAAAUAAAUAUGUGGUUCAAUUAGAGAAAGACAGACUUUUUUGAGGGGUUUACUUAAGAUUAAAAGUAUAGAACAAAAGGAAGAGUAAGGCUUUUGGCCACUUUGUAUUAUGUCUUUGAUAAU
RNAcentral lists this long non-coding RNA (1038 nucleotides) under Nicotiana benthamiana. RNAcentral describes it as "long non-coding RNA (NBEN_LNC020349)". Lineage: Eukaryota; Viridiplantae; Streptophyta; Magnoliopsida; Solanales; Solanaceae. The record is from RNAcentral.